Cygnus olor (mute swan) is the source of this 1446-nucleotide long non-coding RNA. RefSeq lists it as uncharacterized. The record is from RefSeq and is a predicted model, not a curated record. The transcript is spliced from 3 exons. NCBI's taxonomy places the organism in Eukaryota, Metazoa, Chordata, Aves, Anseriformes, Anatidae.
GCCGGGUUCGAGGCUGCCCUCGGCUGCAGCCCUGGUGGAGGUGCUGAGCUCGCCUCCCUUAUCUGGUCUGAGCUCCCCGCGAGCUGUAGGUUGUUAGGGUACUGGGGUACUACCGAAAACGAAUAGAAAAGUUUAUUCAGCAGUGAAGGACAGUUAUUACUGACCUGUGGUAUGCGCUAUAUGGGCUGUUGGGAGUCCCAUGUGCGGUUUUGCAGAGAUGUUUGCUGUGAAAAUGUUUGUGCUCGUGUACAGAGUGAAACCCAACUAAAAUACACCUUCUUUAUAAGCUGGGGAAAGCUCUGCUUCUAGGAGGUGAUUCAGAAAGUAAAGCAGCCAUAUAUAAAGACAGUAUUUCUCUACCCAGCCCUGUAACAACUACUUGGCUCCUGAGCCGUGAGUGUGGCGGCAGCAGGACAGAGCACUGAGCCCCCCUGCAUUCACCCCCUCUGCCCAGCACACCGGUGGCCCAGUCAGGAGGAAAGCCAAGCCCCUGGGCAUCCUGUGGGCACAGAGCUAUUACCCACAAGGCCAGGCCCUUGCUGCCCACGUCCCACCUGUGCCUGCUGCCCUGCAGGCUGGGCAGGUUUCCUCAGUGAUGAGGCUCCAGACGCUGUCUCCGCCAUCCUCUCCAGAGAGCCAGCCAGCUGGGUGCUCCAUACGCGAUUCUGAGUCGGAACAUCUUCCCAGGACAUAUUUGCUCAGUCUGAAAGCAAAGUGAGAUGAAAUUGGAGAUUGAAAAUGCUAGAUGAAACCAGAGAUUUUUCUUUCUACUGCAGGGAUCCUAACAAGAUAGGUUUCAGCAGUCCUGAUGAAUCACCUAAGUGUGUGAGUGCUUAGGUGAGCACAACUAGAAACCUCUGGCCUGUUGUGAAAGCUGGAGUGCUACAUACUAUGUUUCUACUUUCAGAUUAAGUCUCCCUCUCCCUUACAGUGACUUAUCUUUGUAACUAAGUUAUAUCCUUGUGAAUGGAGAAAUAACAUUUAAUAAGAAAACCAAAAUUAAGUCCUUUACUUCAUACUAAAUUAAGUUUUUUUUAAGGCCAACUAAAAUGCAUUCACUUGGAAGACUAAAGUAACUGUAUCUUCUGCAAUCAAUUCUUAAAAUAUUUGCUGCAUAUUCACAUGACAGACUGCCUGUUCAUGAAAUAAUAUGCUCUUUAAGCAUCUGUAGCUAUAUAAUUAAAUCAUGAGCUUUAUUUGGUAAAAGGUAGUACCUAUUCUGGUUUGUUGUUUUUUUUUAUCUGUUCAGUUUUAAAAUAGCUGGUAUUCAAGAAGGAGCUGGGAAAUUAAAAACAAGUCUAUUAAGUGUUUCCUUAAAGAUUCCCCAUAAAAUUGGAAUAAUUGGAGAAUAUUAAGUCCUAGUUUUUAAUAAGUUAUGGGUUAUUUCUGCUCAAACUUACUGCCCAUUGGCCUAGACCUAAGUACAUGAAAGAGUGGUGGUUUUUU